UCUCCGUAGGUGAACCUGCGGAGGGAUCAUUACCAGAGAUGGCGGGCCUCCGUGCCCCCGUCCCCAACCCAUUGUUGACCAAAACCUUUUUGCCUCGGGGGCAGAGCGUCCGCCGCCGCCCCCGGGGGACCACCGAACGCUGUCUCUAUACGUCGGAGUAUUGAUUAAAUGAAUGAAAACUUUCAACAACGGAUCUCUUGGUUCUG
Molecule: unclassified non-coding RNA, 206 nt
Filed under: plant metagenome
Description: partial contains small subunit ribosomal RNA, internal transcribed spacer 1, and 5.8S ribosomal RNA
Source: RNAcentral